GCCUUUAGAGGCAGGACUGGGAUAAUACAAAUCCAAGAGGAAUAAAUUUUUUCCUAAUUUUAGAGUGAGCUUUGAGAAAAUGCAAACCAACAAUGUAAUGAGUGCUGAUUGUCUAAAAUAUGAUUGAUACUCAGAACCUUGUGCAAGCUUUAUAACAAAGACUGUCACUUGGCUAGCAUUGGUGGUAGCUUUAAGCUAUAGUCCUGGUUGGUCUGGUAUGUCAUGCUGUGUUCCAAGCAGCAAAGCUUGCUACAGGGAGUAAUGACAUGAUGGAGAGGAAGGCGACUAGGGACAGAAAUGAAAAGGAGAGCAGGUUGCUGGAACUAAUGAGUAAUCAAGUGGUAUUAGAUUUUUCAUGCGAGCUCAUUCAACUACGAGCGUUGAACAGCAAGGAAAUCUGUUUCAGAUUAGAUGUCCCUGCCAGCCAGUCUGAACUCCAUCCCUUGUCAAAGAAAUAGGAUAUGAAUUUUGCACAGCAACAUUAAGGAGUAUUGUUACUACAGAGUCAUUGACUUUCUGUAACACAUUUUUGUUUUAAUAUUGCUGUCUGAAGGCAUUGAUGGCUAACAAGAAAAAAAAACGGGUCUCUAGAAAUGGAUUAAAGUAAUACAUGUAUUUGAACUAUGCAGAGGUCCUCUUUGUUCACUAUGAGCACAGUUAUUUGUCCAGGUGACUUAAAAAAGUAACAAAACCACCCUAAUCCGUCCUCACCAAAAUAUUCAAAAAAACAGAGUUUCCUCUGAAAAACAGUAUGGUGAAAAGUGUCUCCCUUCCAUUUCUAAAUUAGAUUUAUCCUGUGUGUGAAAUCAGCUACAUCCACAGUUCUGUCAUUGACCAUAAGGUACUAUGGGAGCAGCUUCACCAUCUGUGAAGACAGGAGAUGGCCUUCAUAUGCAGCAGAUGAUAACCAAAACCAGGGAAGCACCUCAAAGGAAAGAAGGGCUGGCCUGCCAUCAUGGAAGGACACAAGAAGAGGCCCUAAGAUGUUUACCAUUUCCAUACACAGAAUUUGUACGUCGCACACACAGAAUUGGCAAAGCUCUUUUUGCUUUUUCACAAAUCCCAGCUGAAAUGUACAGGAUCAUAUCCAGAACAAUAAGGAGGAGGAGCCAAGGUUUACCCGUGCACGUUAUCCAACAUACUAGUGGAGGAAGAGCAGGUAGCAAGAAAUCAUGACAGAAGCUGUGAUGUGGUUCAGGAAAGAUGACCACAUGUGGGUCUGUUUAUGUUGUUCUGCUGAGUACUAGAA
RNAcentral lists this long non-coding RNA (1249 nucleotides) under Calidris pugnax (ruff). Its description in RNAcentral is "lncRNA (ENSCPUG00000018539.1)". The record is from RNAcentral. Lineage: Eukaryota; Metazoa; Chordata; Aves; Charadriiformes; Scolopacidae.